RNAcentral lists this long non-coding RNA (1237 nucleotides) under Sus scrofa (pig). RNAcentral's name for it is "lncRNA (ENSSSCG00070011240.1)". The record is from RNAcentral. Lineage: Eukaryota; Metazoa; Chordata; Mammalia; Artiodactyla; Suidae.
GUUGUCUCUGCUACCAAGAGGCAUUUUCACACGAAACCUGUGUGGGGAGGUAAUGUUUUGAAGUGCACCCCAAAGAGCAAGAUCUUUCUAAGUAGAACUUGGAUUCUGAAGGCUCUUCUGUGUGGCUGGGUGUUAUGGGCUUUGAGGGCUUGGCCUGGGAGUCAGUUAUUAGUCAUUUCCCUGUUAUCUUCUGCAAUCAGGAUGUCACUCGUUCUCUCUGUUGUCAUGUAUUUUCCAGAAUCUUGCUUUGGAAACCUAGGAUCUUGCUUCAGGAGACUGAGGGCAAUUUUGUUCUUUACCACCUUGGCUGGAAUAAUCCCAUGGUGGCCACACAACAGGGUGCACCCUGCCAAUGAGCCAGAUGAAGCAACCCUCGAUGAUGUUGUGGAGGCCGGCGGGAGUGAGAAGACCGAGAAGGAGGCCCUGGCUGGGGCAAAUGAGGAAGAGGUGGGGCCGGGAACUGAGAAGGUGCAGGAGGAGGCUGCCUACAUUGACGAGGCAGAGGAGGCAGCGGGCCCAUCCCUUGAAAAUGACGAGGAGUCCCCAGCCAGCGACCUGGUUGAGCAGGAAGACCAGCUUGCCCCAAGGUAAGCUCACCUUUCUUGAUCGGAGAUUUAAAAAGGUGCCUCCUUUCUUCUUGGAUGUGCCUACUUCAGAAAAGGAAAUCUGAGCAAGUCCAUUAUAGAGGAUAUAUGCACAUUCCUCUGUGGAGGAAUGUUGAGUCAAAGUUUGGUACCAACCAAUAACUCCUUCCAAGGGGCAUUGGCAAAAGGGACCACAUCAGUUCCCAAGUGUACAUAGGGAGCAUUUGUCUUUGAAGAAGCCUGAAUGUUUUGUUUUGUUUUGUUUUGUUGUCUUUUUGCCUUUUCUGGGGCCACUCCUGUGGCAUAUGGAGGUUCCCAGGCUCAGGGUCAAAUCGGAGCUGUAGCCACCGGCCUGCGCCAGAGCCACAGCAACGCGGGAUCCGAGCCACGUCUGCAACCUACACCUCAGCUCACGGCAAUGCCGGAUCCUUAACCCACUGAGCAAGGCCAGGGAUCGAACCCGCAACCUCAUGGUUCCUGGUCGGAUUCGUUAACCACUGCGCCACGACGGGAACUCCAAAGAAGCCUGAAUGUUUUUUAAAUGAACGUGGACUUGGGAGGUCUUCCAUGAAAAGCUGGUGCCUUUUCCACAGGUGUCUUUGCUGUCUUCUUUUGGGGAAACGGACUCAACUCUGCUUCUGUCUGUGUGCCUG